AACGGCCAUACCAUGCUGAAUAUACCGGUUCUCGUUAGAUCACCGAAGUCAAGCAUCAUUGGGCGCGGUCAGUACUUGGGUGGGUGAACACAUGGGAACACCGCGUGCUGUU
This 112-nucleotide ribosomal RNA is filed under the name Caerostris darwini. Lineage: Eukaryota; Metazoa; Arthropoda; Arachnida; Araneae; Araneidae. The record is from RNAcentral.